GCCGAAGUGGUGGAAUUGGUAGACACGCCGUCUUGAGGGGGCGGUGGGGUUACACCCGUGGGGGUUCGAGUCCCCCCUUCGGCACCA
RNAcentral lists this transfer RNA (87 nucleotides) under Candidatus Methylomirabilota bacterium. Its description in RNAcentral is "tRNA-Leu". It matches the Rfam family "tRNA". Rfam says of the family: Transfer RNA (tRNA) molecules are approximately 80 nucleotides in length. Their secondary structure includes four short double-helical elements and three loops (D, anti-codon, and T loops). Lineage: Bacteria; Methylomirabilota (SeqCode). The record is from RNAcentral.